UAGAGUUUGAUCCUGGCUCAGAACGAACGCUGGCGGCAGGCUUAACACAUGCAAGUCGAGCGCCCCGCAAGGGGAGCGGCAGACGGGUGAGUAACGCGUGGGAACGUACCCUUUUCUACGGAAUAACGCAUGGAAACGUGUGCUAAUACCGUAUGUGCCCUUUGGGGGAAAGAUUUAUCGGAAAAGGAUCGGCCCGCGUUGGAUUAGCUAGUUGGUGGGGUAAAGGCCUACCAAGGCGACGAUCCAUAGCUGGUCUGAGAGGAUGAUCAGCCACAUUGGGACUGAGACACGGCCCAAACUCCUACGGGAGGCAGCAGUGGGGAAUAUUGGACAAUGGGCGCAAGCCUGAUCCAGCCAUGCCGCGUGAGUGAUGAAGGCCCUAGGGUUGUAAAGCUCUUUCACCGGUGAAGAUAAUGACGGUAACCGGAGAAGAAGCCCCGGCUAACUUCGUGCCAGCAGCCGCGGUAAUACGAAGGGGGCUAGCGUUGUUCGGAAUUACUGGGCGUAAAGCGCACGUAGGCGGAUCGAUCAGUCAGGGGUGAAAUCCCAGAGCUCAACUCUGGAACUGCCUUUGAUACUGUCGAUCUGGAGUAUGGAAGAGGUGAGUGGAAUUCCGAGUGUAGAGGUGAAAUUCGUAGAUAUUCGGAGGAACACCAGUGGCGAAGGCGGCUCACUGGUCCAUUACUGACGCUGAGGUGCGAAAGCGUGNGGAGCAAACAGGAUUAGAUACCCUGGUAGUCCACGCCGUAAACGAUGAAUGUUAGCCGU
RNAcentral lists this ribosomal RNA (768 nucleotides) under bacterium enrichment culture clone ADE_16. Its description in RNAcentral is "bacterial SSU rRNA". It matches the Rfam family "Bacterial small subunit ribosomal RNA", at positions 1 to 823 of the family's 1533-position model. The record is from RNAcentral.